AUUAGAGAGUAAAGCAGAUAAGUUGAACAAACUAAAAAUUAGUGAGAUCAAUACUAUAAAAUACAAAUGAUGUUAUUUAAAUAUUAUGGAAUCCAGUAGUGAUAAAAAAAUACAUAAAGACAGUGCAAGUUUUCUGAAAAACUUCUUAGAAAUAAAGAGGCCUGUGAAACAACAGAGUACUACUUUACCAAAAUUGAUCAGCAAUAUGGAGAAAGAUAAUGACAAAACCAACAAGGAUAGAUUAUUUGUAAGACACCAAAGUUAUAGAAGAACUACAAGAAAAAAUAAAUAUAAAAAAGAUACAGCUAAAACAUUCACACAGAAACAUUCAGAUGAAGCAGAAUAUUCUGUUAAAUCUCUGUGUCAACAGUUUGAAGACUCGCAUGUCGCAAUACAAAAUAGCAGCUCAUCAUCCAGUGCAACUACAAGGGAAGCUAGCUCUAGUGAUAAAAUAAUAAUCAACACAGAAAUGCUUCUAAGCUCUCUUAGAGAUGCUAAUAAAAAUGUUGAAGUGAUAAAGAGAACUCGUGAUAACAAUAAAAACCAAGAAAAUCACACGAAAACGAAGAGCUUUGUAGAAGCCGAAAAUGAAGAAGAAACAGAAAAAUUGAGGCAAAGUUUCAUACUCGAAAUGGAUUUGGAAAUGGCUAAGAUGAAAGAAGAUGGAUUUAUAGAUUAUACUGAAACAAUAGAUAUUUCCACUUCAUCAGAAAAUAGUAUUAAUAACGAUGGAAUUGACAAAUAUUUAGUACACAGAGUUUUAGAUUGUAAUGAUGAACAAAGAAAUAUAGUUCAGAGGCACGGCCAUACUAAUGAUUGUGAUACAAUUAUUAAUGAAAAUAAAAUCAAAUUAGAUGGUCAAAUCGAUUUCAAGUGUGAAGAAGCAAUAAAUAAAAAGGCAAGAGAAUUCGAGAAAUUCAUCAGUAAAACAGAAGAAUUCAAUGAAAGUUUCAGUGAUGAGAUAGAAAACGACAUGGUUAUUGUUGAAGCGUACAAUGACGAUGGCAAAGAAUUGAUUGAAGUGCAGGUAACGAUAGAGAGAAAAGUAGUGACCAUUGGAAAAGAAAGCUUACAAGAUGUUCUUAAACAUUCGAAAAAUUCUGAUAUGAUAUUUUUUAAAGAAGAUGGCAAUACGUUCAACUUGAUGAAGAAUAAUAUAGAACCUAAUGUAGACGAUAACAUAAUACAUGAAGAUUUAUGCAUAUUGCCAUCGACUAGCACAAAAAAUGGUGUAUAUGAGUACAUUGAAAUUCCUAAUAAAGAUAACCAUGAGCUACCGUUUUUAAUGUUUGCUCCAUUAUCAAAUAGAUCAACAAUAUACUCGACUACAUCUCAAGAAAGCUCAAUUUUUGAUGAAGAUGAUGAAGGAAUUUCUUUGGGAAGAAACAAAGAUAAUCAAGAGGAGCUUUACAGUAAUGUGAGAAGGGAAACAUUUUGUGACAAUAAGGGAAUUGUGAGGAUUGAAAGAGUUGGAGUACCUGAUAAUUCACUAUUUGUGAAAGGAAAUAAUUCUGCAACUGUCAGCAGAAGUAAUUCAACAACUUCCUGUAAAAAGUUAGAAUGUAUAGUUGAAGAAAUUCUAUCAACGGAGAAAAAAUAUGUUGAGGAUCUGGCCAAAGUAGUGAAGUUAUAUAAACCAUUUAUUGAACGACAUGUACCUCCACACUUGGAACAUUAUCAAGGUUAUCUUUUUGGAAAUCUUGAAAAAAUAUAUAGAAGGCAACGGAAAUUCUUGCAAGCAAUGGAAAAGAGUGAUUCAAAUGUAGAUCAAAUUAUUCAUUGUUUCUUAGAUCAUGAAUUUCUCUUCGAAAUGUAUCCUCAUUAUUUCAGAAAUAAACCACGAGCAGACAAUUUACUGAAAGAGUUUAAUCCAAUUAUAAAGGAAAUGCAAGAAACCUUUGAGGAACGAUUGGAUUUCUCAGCUUAUUUAUUGACUCCAGUUCAAAGACUAGGAAGAUAUAUUUUAUUCUUGGAGAAUAUAGAAAAACAAUUGAAAAAAUUGAAUUUACCUGUAGAACAUGCUCAGAGUGCCAUAGCUAUACUCAAAGAUGAAAUGUCGAAAGGAAACGACUCUGUGGCGAUUGAGUCUAUUGAAAACAGUCCUAUCAGUAAAAUGGAUUACGGAUCAUUCAAAAUGAGAGAAAAAUUCAGCAUUAACAAGCCUAGAAAAGUGGAUGCUAUGGUUUUUUUAUUUUCCCAUGUGGUAGUUUUUACAACUUGUGAUUCGACUAAAUUAGAAACAUUUUAUUAUUACGAUAGCAUAAAAAUGAAUGACCUACGGAUAGCCACUUUUGAUGAUCUCACUAUCCACUUAACAGAUUUCACCAAAAGUAAGAAGAAACAAAAUUCAUCGAAAUAUACAUAUGUAUUAGAGACAAAAACAGAAAAAGUUUGGAAAACGUGGACGGAAGCAAUCGAAAAAAUGUUAUGGGAUCAAUUGGUUAAAGUAAAAGAGAACUCAAUAUCCCAAUAUACUCCUAGAAAACAGAAAAAUGUUGAAAAAGCUAGAACAAGAUCUGUAGGUAAGACCCAUCUCAGUUUCAUUCGAGGAAUCAACUUCUGAAUUUUGUCGUAUGAAUAUAGAAACAAAGAGGAAUUCAAUAAGUGAAUCCACCGAACCACCGAACAUAUUUGAACUGUGCUAUUUACACGUUCUAGUUCUGAAGAAAAAUAUGAGUCACCACUUUUAGAGAAAAGAAAAAACAAAAACAUAUGGAUAAAAUUAAGAUCCAAUGUGGCCAAGGUCAAAGGAAGGCUACCGAAAAGCGUGAAGGAGUCUACUUAUUGUUAUUACAAAGCAUACAAGAAAGACUUUGUAUAUGGUAAGUCGGCAAUUGAAAAAGACACAAAUGAUAAAAAACAAAUUUCACCAGCAAACGCUAACUGAAAUGCCGACAUUAGAACAGAGAAGCACCUUGCAGAAAAAAGUCAAGCAACCAGAAAUUGGAUUAGCAGAUUUUACAGUAGAACCAUGGUGAGAUAGCUAUAAAUAUUACUUGUGGGAGAACUAAUACCAUCACAAUUGCGAAUAGCGUAACAGGAACAUGAUGUUUUGAAAAAGUUUAUUGUAGAAAACACAUUUUUCUUUUAUUGUUUAUGAAUCGACCAAUAGGUGAGACAUCAACAUUUACUUAUGGUUGCUAGGUACCUUCAGCAACCACCGAAGCCCUCUAUAAUAACAUCUUAGGGCAUAACACUCCAUUUAAAGAUAAAAUUAUAUUUUUGCGGCUGAUGAAGCAAGUGUAAUGAUAAGGGUUCACCAUUCCCUAUUACUUUUGUUGAAGUAUGAUAUUCGAGAUCUCUGUUUGAUGAGGUGGAUCAGUGUUUUAUUGUAAUUGAGGUGACUCUGGGGAUUAUGUUGUGCCAAAUUAACAUUAGUUAGGACUUGAUCAAUCUAUUAUUUAUUUUAUUUUGUGAUGAUUAUAUAAUUUAUAUUUAUUUGGAAUACGUUAAUAUGCUAUGAUUAUUUUACUUUCAUGAAAAUUGAAUUAUGUAUUUUAUCUAAUCUAGUUUUUACUAAGGCCUUUAUUGAUACAAGUAGAACAAUUAUUAUUUGUAUGAUUUCAAAUCGUCUUGAUUUUAGGUGUCUUCUGUUAUAAACUUGGUUUUUUAAUAAUUUUUGUAAAAAUAGAUAAAAAUUCUGACGUUUCGACUACUUUCAGUCUUUAUCAAAUGGCCAUUUUGUGAAUAAAGUAGUCUUGUAUAAAUUCGUAAA
This is an RNA transcript of Diorhabda carinulata, 3715 nucleotides long. RefSeq lists it as uncharacterized. The transcript has 11 exons. Lineage: Eukaryota; Metazoa; Arthropoda; Insecta; Coleoptera; Chrysomelidae. The record is from RefSeq and is a predicted model, not a curated record.